This 433-nucleotide ribosomal RNA is filed under the name uncultured bacterium. RNAcentral describes it as "partial 16S ribosomal RNA". It matches the Rfam family "Bacterial small subunit ribosomal RNA", at positions 29 to 507 of the family's 1533-position model. The record is from RNAcentral.
AACGAACGCUGGCGGCAUGCCUAACACAUGCAAGUCGAACGAGACCUUCGGGUCUAGUGGCGCACGGGUGCGUAACGCGUGGGAACCUGCCCUUAGGUUCGGAAUAACUCCCCGAAAGGGGUGCUAAUACCGGAUAAUGUCUUCGGACCAAAGAUUUAUCGCCUUUGGUUGGGCCCGCGUUGGAUUAGCUGGUUGGUAGGGUAAAAGCCAACAAAGGCGCGAUCCCAUACGUGGUAGGAGAGGAGGUCAACCCACCGGGGGACGGAGACACGGCCCAGACCCAUAGGGGAGGAGGAAGGGGGGAAGAUUGAAAAAGGGGGGAAGGCUUAAGCAAGAAAGGCCGGGGGAGUGAGGAAGGCCGUGGGGUUGAAAAUCUUUUUUACCGGGGAGGAAAAGGACGGUACGGGGAAAAUAAGCCCCGGCUACCCCCGUC